AACGAAGUUCUUGUUUCAGUCCCCCUGCUGCCCAUGCUUCUGCUACAUCUAGAAGAACAAAAGCAAAACGAAGCAAGAGGGAAAGCAGGCUUGAUGUGUGCUGCACUGCUGCUACAUCCAUUCCACUUCAGAAAUUCGGAUGCACCGAAAACCAUUUGUCAGUUCAGCGUCUUCCAACAUAGCUCUCAGAACAGGAGCUUUGACACCCUGCAGAUGAGGGAAACAUGAAGCUCUUACAUAACAGCGAGCUUGCUAUCCUGCAGGGAUGCGAGGCCCUAUCACAUGAAAGAUUCAGAUAACUGUACUCAUAAGAACGCAAGAGUGUGACAGAAUUUCACUGCCAUCGUCUGUCGAAACACGGAGAUCCGCC
This 370-nucleotide long non-coding RNA is filed under the name Setaria italica (foxtail millet). RNAcentral describes it as "long non-coding RNA (SITA_LNC002377)". Lineage: Eukaryota; Viridiplantae; Streptophyta; Magnoliopsida; Poales; Poaceae. The record is from RNAcentral.